GUGGGAGGGGGCUUGCCCCCGAUGGCGGUAGGUCAGUUACAGAUUUGCUAACUGAUACUCCCUCAUCGGGGGCAAGCCCCCUCCCAC
This 87-nucleotide unclassified non-coding RNA is filed under the name Pseudomonas synxantha. The record is from RNAcentral. Lineage: Bacteria; Pseudomonadati; Pseudomonadota; Gammaproteobacteria; Pseudomonadales; Pseudomonadaceae.